Molecule: small nuclear RNA, 152 nt
Filed under: Neogale vison (American mink)
Lineage: Eukaryota; Metazoa; Chordata; Mammalia; Carnivora; Mustelidae
Description: Neovison vison (American mink) U1 spliceosomal RNA (ENSNVIG00000020110.1)
Source: RNAcentral
AAACUUACUUGGCUGAGGAAAUACCUUGAUCAGGAAGGUGUUUCUCCCAAUGCAAGGGUUGGCUUCUGCACUCUGUAGGAAUGACUUCUUCCAUGUUCUGAAUAUGAGAAACUCAACCUCAGGAGCUGUGAAAAGACAAAAUAUUCUCUGUC